This 83-nucleotide transfer RNA is filed under the name Stegodyphus mimosarum. It matches the Rfam family "tRNA". From Rfam's summary of the family: Transfer RNA (tRNA) molecules are approximately 80 nucleotides in length. Their secondary structure includes four short double-helical elements and three loops (D, anti-codon, and T loops). Further hydrogen bonds mediate the characteristic L-shaped molecular structure. tRNAs have two regions of fundamental functional importance: the anti-codon, which is responsible for specific mRNA codon recognition, and the 3' end, to which the tRNAs corresponding amino acid is attached (by aminoacyl-tRNA synthetases). tRNAs cope with the degeneracy of the genetic code in two manners: having more than one tRNA (with a specific anti-codon) for a particular amino acid; and 'wobble' base-pairing, i.e. permitting non-standard base-pairing at the 3rd anti-codon position. The record is from Rfam by way of RNAcentral. Lineage: Eukaryota; Metazoa; Arthropoda; Arachnida; Araneae; Eresidae.
AGUAGCGCAGCCGAGUUGUGCUAAGGCACUGGUUUAAAGCCCCAGUCUCUUCGGAGGUGUGGGUUCGAAUCCCACCGCUGCCA